GUGGCUCUUUGGAACUAUCUAUAAUUUUCCUGACCUCCUCUUUAAAGUGAGUGUAAUCAGGGGUUACAGAAGAAGUUUGAACUUCAGCUGAAAUUAAAGCCCGAAAAAUGAAAUGAAAAAUUUGUUCAACUUUGAGUAUCGAGGGCAGUAAUUUUUGCCUCACCCAGAAAUUAUCCAAGAUGUCUUUCAUAUAGUCAAGUUUACCACUAUAAGCAAUUAAACGUAUUAACUCAUAAAGUGUAGAAUGAUUUGGACGUAAACCAUAAUGCGAAAGAUCCUGAAGCAAUGAAAAAGCGACUGUUUGAAAACGAACAUCGGUAGCUAAAGCAUGAAUUAAAUUAUUAAUAACGAACGUUGUAGGGGUUAAUGGAU
This is a non-coding RNA of Schizosaccharomyces pombe (fission yeast), 372 nucleotides long. The record is from the annotation of a GenBank genome assembly. NCBI's taxonomy places the organism in Eukaryota, Fungi, Ascomycota, Schizosaccharomycetes, Schizosaccharomycetales, Schizosaccharomycetaceae.